This 253-nucleotide ribosomal RNA is filed under the name uncultured bacterium. RNAcentral's name for it is "partial 16S ribosomal RNA". It matches the Rfam family "Bacterial small subunit ribosomal RNA", at positions 524 to 776 of the family's 1533-position model. The record is from RNAcentral.
UACGAGGGGGGCAAGCGUUGUUCGGAAUUAUUGGGCGUAAAGGGCGCGUAGGCGGUGCGGUAAGUCACCUGUGAAAACUCUGGGCUCAACUCAGAGCCUGCAGGCGAAACUGCCGUGCUGGAGUGUGGGAGAGGUGAGUGGAAUUCCCGGUGUAGCGGUGAAAUGCGUAGAUACUGGGAGGAACACCGGUGGCGAAGGCGGAUCUCUGGGCCAAUACUGACGCUGAGGAGCGAAAGCGUGGGGAGCGAACAGG